AUCACCCGGGGAUCUUGUUAAAAUUCAGAUUCUGAUUCAGUAGGUCUGGGGUGGGGCCUGAGAUUUUCCAUUUCUAAUAAGCUCCCAGGUGAAGCUGA
Molecule: microRNA precursor, 98 nt
Filed under: Camelus bactrianus (Bactrian camel)
Lineage: Eukaryota; Metazoa; Chordata; Mammalia; Artiodactyla; Camelidae
Also listed under: 2 other names
Description: mir-544 microRNA precursor family
Rfam family: mir-544 microRNA precursor family
Source: Rfam by way of RNAcentral